UGGGGAAUAUUGGACAAUGGGCGAAAGCCUGAUCCAGCCAUGCCGCGUGUGUGAAGAAGGCCUUUUGGUUGUAAAGCACUUUAAGCGAGGAGGAAGCUACUUGGAUUAAUACUCUAGGAUAGUGGACGUUACUCGCAGAAUAAGCACCGGCUAACUCUGUGCCAGCAGCCGCGGUAAUACAGAGGGUGCGAGCGUUAAUCGGAUUUACUGGGCGUAAAGCGUGCGUAGGCGGCUUUUUAAGUCGGAUGUGAAAUCCCUGAGCUUAACUUAGGAAUUGCAUUCGAUACUGGGAAGCUAGAGUAUGGGAGAGGAUGGUAGAAUUCCAGGUGUAGCGGUGAAAUGCGUAGAGAUCUGGAGGAAUACCGAUGGCGAAGACAGCCAUCUGGCCUAAUACUGACGCUGAGGUACGAAAGCAUGGGGAGCAAACAGG
RNAcentral lists this ribosomal RNA (430 nucleotides) under Acidobacteriota bacterium. RNAcentral describes it as "Acidobacteria bacterium partial 16S ribosomal RNA". It matches the Rfam family "Bacterial small subunit ribosomal RNA", at positions 355 to 776 of the family's 1533-position model. The record is from RNAcentral. Lineage: Bacteria; Pseudomonadati; Acidobacteriota.